UUUUUAUCUCAUUCAAGUAUAAUUCACAUACCCAUACACGCACACAUUACACUACUAUACUCAAAUUAAACCUACGAAUCAAUCUUCUAUUUUGAGAAUAGAUUAAAACAUUUCGAGUAAUAAACUCGAAUUCAGUGUACCCCUCUUAUUAAAUGUAUUGAUUUCACUUUUAAAUCAAAACUAUGCAAUAUUCAAGAAGGAAGAAUAAG
Molecule: long non-coding RNA, 209 nt
Filed under: Gossypium raimondii (Peruvian cotton)
Lineage: Eukaryota; Viridiplantae; Streptophyta; Magnoliopsida; Malvales; Malvaceae
Description: long non-coding RNA (GRAI_LNC008754)
Source: RNAcentral